Non-coding RNA from Podarcis muralis (Common wall lizard), 496 nucleotides. The record is from RefSeq and is a predicted model, not a curated record. Lineage: Eukaryota; Metazoa; Chordata; Lepidosauria; Squamata; Lacertidae.
AUUACUAAAGUACAUCCUGUAUGUGCUUUCCUAUUAUCUAAAUGACUUUGAGGAAUGGAAGAUGGUGGAAUCCCACAUUUCAUACUUAAGCAAAACACCUGUUAAGUGUAGUUCCUUUUGCUGCUGGACCAUUGCCAAACAGAACUGUGUUUGAGACAAUACUUUUAUUCUAAUAAUUACAAAAUGCCGAGGUGACUUCCUGUGUAGCCAGUCUGCAGCUGUAGGAGAAGACUCUAAUAUUUUCCAUUCUUUUCCUUGAAACCCUGCAGUCUAUACCUCCCAAACUUGCAAGACUCACCCACCUGGGAGCUAACUUGCCUUCACCAACCCGGCGCCAACCUGAUGGUUUAGACUACAAUGCCAUCCACUGCAGCUGGCCUGGCCAUUGGCAGAGGGCACCAAGUGGCUGAAGUCUGGUCUGGAUAAAGGAUUAUCCCAGUUACAAUUGAUCUCCCAGGUUUCUGUAUUUUCCCAGGUACAAAUUAUUUUGCUUUGC